UUUUUAUUUUUUCAUAUUUUUUAAAUUAUUUUGUUAUUCUGGAGAAAAAUACCCCCUUUUUUAACGCUCUCAGCCGAAACUGAGUCCAACCUCCCGCGCAGGUAGCCGCGGCCAUAAUUCCUGCGGCAUUUCACACUGGUUUCACUAAACUCAGCUUUCCCUUCACUCCCUCUAAAUACAGCCCUUCCCAGAGAGGGCACUGAAAAAAGAAAACCAAGCGGGCCGGGCUGCGCGGAGCCCAGCCCGACCUGACCCCCCAUGCAAGGGCAGCCCCCCUCUGCCCCCGGCUUGUCUCCUUUCCCGUGUCCUUUCAAGCUUUAUUCUCUUGCAAGACGCCAAAGCGCCGCAGACAAAAAUUAAGUUAACAAGGAAAUUAGCUGGGCAGAAAAAGCCAGGGAUGCUUCCCCGCUCCAGACCUGCUCCUUCCACUGAAGGAACCUGCUCAGAAGCGGUGGAAUAACCUGUCUCGGGAGGGCUCGAGGGUGAACUACGGAGGGAGAAACACGCGUGGGGGAGAUCAGCGAGCGACGACCUCUACGAAAACGCGGCUGAGAAAACGGGGUGUUGGUUUGUACCCCGAACUAAAGCGGCGGCUUGGGCCAGCAGAGACUUUAUUUAUUGAACCAAUAUUCUGAACAAUUACCGAGAGGAACAAAAUAACCCCCAAUACCCAACUGUAGCAGCGGCCGCCCGAGUCCGCGGGUGAGCUGCCGCCGACCCGGGCCCGGAGCAGCACCCCCCUGUUGAGACCGCGCAUUUCUGCGCCUACAGACCACGUGCAGAGCCCAGAACUCCUCCGUAGCUGCGUAUGGCUUUAUUUAGCUAGAGCUCUGUCCGUGCGUAAUGUGUAUAAAGCGCUAAGUAGCUUUAUAUAUUUUAAAUAUUUAUAUAGCUCAACUACGUAUAUGUACGUGUUGUUAUAUAAAGAUAACGCAAA
Strigops habroptila (Kakapo) is the source of this 937-nucleotide long non-coding RNA. RefSeq lists it as uncharacterized. The transcript has 2 exons. NCBI's taxonomy places the organism in Eukaryota, Metazoa, Chordata, Aves, Psittaciformes, Psittacidae. The record is from RefSeq and is a predicted model, not a curated record.